Molecule: RNA transcript, 2370 nt
Organism: Dama dama (fallow deer)
Lineage: Eukaryota; Metazoa; Chordata; Mammalia; Artiodactyla; Cervidae
Gene: NUDT11
Gene name: nudix hydrolase 11
Exons: 3
Source: RefSeq, a predicted model, not a curated record
UCUCUCUCUCACUCUCUGCCCCUCCUUCCGGCUCUUUCUCUCCGCAGCACCUUGGAGCCCCUCGACCCGGCGGCGGCGGGGAGCUGAGCGGCGGCGGACGGCCUCGAAGAUGAAGUGCAAGCCGAACCAGACGCGGACCUACGACCCGGAGGGGUUCAAGAAGCGGGCGGCGUGCCUGUGCUUCCGGAGCGAGCGCGAGGACGAGGUGCUGUUAGUGAGUAGCAGUCGGUACCCGGACCGCUGGAUCGUGCCGGGCGGGGGCAUGGAGCCCGAGGAGGAGCCGGGCGGUGCGGCCGUCCGCGAGGUGUUUGAAGAGGCGGGAGUCAAGGGGAAGUUAGGCCGGCUCCUGGGCAUUUUCGAGCAGAACCAAGAUCGCAAGCACAGAACAUACGUGUAUGUACUGACUGUCACUGAGAUUCUGGAGGAUUGGGAAGAUUCGGUUAACAUUGGGAGGAAGCGAGAGUGGUUCAAAGUCGAAGAUGCGAUCAAGGUUCUCCAGUGCCACAAGCCCGUGCAUGCCGAAUAUCUGCAAAAACUAAAGCUGGGCGGUUCCCCAACCAAUGGAAACUCCGUGGCCCCGUCCCUGCCGGAGGGCGAUCCCUAAUAUUUUUGCAGAUAAAAACCCCUUCCAUCUGAAAUGCUGUCACAAAUACUUUGGAGCCUUAACUUGUUAUGCUUAGAGAUGAACAGCAAAGAUGUCCAGGAUUAUUUGAAAGAAUCAUUGAUGUGAGCCAUUAAUAAAUGGAAUUGUCAAGUAUAGGUGAGCACUUCCAUGCUUCCAAGGAGACAGCUCAUCUGGUUUUCUUCCUGCAUCUUGAGACACUCCUUCCCUGUCUGUUUUGCUGACUUCUCUUGCCCUGGUGAUUGUACUUUGUACAUGAACAGACUUAUUCAGCACCUGUAGCAUUUUGUUGUGCUUUUUUUUUUUGAUAUGUCUGCCUUCUUUAUUAGACUGAAAGCAAAAACCACGUCUCCUUAUUCUUUGCAUAUUCUGCACCUGAGACACUACUUGAAAUAUGGCUGACAUCACUGAAGGUUCUUUGAUUCAAUUAAUAUUUUAUAAUCACUACGUAUAAUUAUAAUGGCAAAACAUUCCCCUUCCAAUCUGGUGCUAUACGCUCUCCAGGCACCACGUGUGUGGCUUUUCUGAAUAAGACAUUUUGGAAACUUUUCAAGGCAGUUGUAGGAUAUUCAAGGACAAGAAUUACUACUCCUAUUGCUAUGUCAUACCACGCAAUGGCUAGCACAGUUUUAACAUCACUUAGGGCAACAUUUUAUAGAAUCAGUCCUUUGUGUAACAACUUCAGUGUUUUUGUACUGUUGUUAAUUUGCUUAAAAUUUUAUUCAAGAAUACCACUUGCUGUAAAACUAAUUAUAAAAAUAAAUACAAUGAACAUAAUAAGAUGAUGUGCUUUUUAUAAAAAUUUUACUAUAUACAAAUAAUAAAGUUAAUGUUUUUGCACUGCCCUAACCACUUCUUUCAUGUAAUCCUAACAUUUCUUUGAAGAAAAGAUUGUUUUUCUAAUUUUACAGAUUCAGUAUCCUGUAUUAUUUGAUGUCAGCAGCAACAAAAACUGCUACAGACAGUUUCCAAAGUUAAUCAUGCCACUUAAUUUGCCUAGGUUUCUUUAUUAUCUCUUACUGAUUCAGUUGGCCACAGUUUUCAUCCCCUUUUCCAAUACACUCAGCUAGAUCCUCAUCCCACCUGGAUUCUGUAUGUGAGAAUGCAGAGGACUGAAAGACAGCUACAUUGUUGUCACCUGGAAAAUUCAAGGUGAGGGGAACUUCUAGGAGGGUGCUGAAAAUUAAAAGAUUUAGAGAGGACUUGGGUCAGCUACCUCCAAGAGAGCAACUUUAAGAAAAUGACAGAGAUGUUUAGAGGAAAUUUUAUGGAGUUCUGCCAUGGAGUUUGUGAUGUCAGCACUCUUCCCCAUCUCCCUACAGAGGCCCUAGAGUGGCCUUAAUAUGGUAAUUUUCUUUCUUUUGCAUUGUAAAGCAGGAACAUUAGAAAAAAGCUUGGGCUCCAUUUGAGUGUUACACCCUUCCACAUGGUACCAGUGAAAUGUAUUGAUUAUUCCCCCAAUUUUUGUAGAAUUAGAAAUAAAAACACAACUCCCUGGUGUAUUGGGAUUUUUUUUAGGUAUGAUAUGGUACUGUGGUUAUGUUUUUUAAAUCCUUAUCUUUUAGGGAAAUAUACUGUUAAGUUUAACAGAUGAAAAGAUAUGCUACUGAUAUUCGCUUAGAUGGGGUGAGUGAGCAUACAGAUGAAAUUGGCAAUAAAUUGAUAAUUAUUGAAGUUGUGUGAUGGAUAUUUGGGAGUUCGUUAUACUAUUCUCUAUACUUUUGUAUAUGUUUGAGAUUUUUCAGAAU